Molecule: long non-coding RNA, 2474 nt
Organism: Hypomesus transpacificus
Lineage: Eukaryota; Metazoa; Chordata; Actinopteri; Osmeriformes; Osmeridae
Exons: 10
Source: RefSeq, a predicted model, not a curated record
AAUAUAGGUUUGCGGGAAACCGCUACAGCCAAUCAAAGCGCGAUAGUUGUUUAGAGGCGGGACUUCUAGCAGAGACUGAUUUUUAACCCUUUGUGUACUAUAAUUAUUGCCUAAACAAUACGGACAGCGGGUGUAUUAUUGGUAGGGACUACACAGUAGAGGCUGGAUUUUGGUAGGGUCGGGACCCUACCGUCCUUAUAUAAUCCUACACCCUUACCCGUGACAGCGGGAAACCUUCAAGCUCAAGAAGAAGAGGAAAAGUACGAUGGCUACCCGUGACAGCGGGAAACCUUCAAGCUCAAGAAGAAGAGGAAAAGUACGAUGGCUACCCGUGACAGCAACCAGGCUUCGUUAUGUGAUACACUCAAGGUUGUAUUUCCACAAUUGGAGACGGUGUCUGGUGGUUGGCUGCUUUACAAAUCAGCAGGAGGAUGGGGUGGCCGCAAACUCUCUCUUGUGACACCUGAUGAUACUGGCUACACAGGCAAAAUAUUGAAGCUUGCAAGCCAGGGGGGUAAAACAACUCUUUUCAUUGCACCAAUUCAAGAAGAACUAAGCACAACUCCUUUGCAACUAACAGACAAUGCAUUCAGUGGCAUGCCAAAAGCAGGGUGUCAGAAAUGUGGAGCAGCUAUUCCACUGCCGCUCCUGACGAACACUUAAAAUCUUGCAACAUCAUUGAUGUUGACAGUGAUAAUUGCCCGGCUAAUGUAGAGGAAAACUGUGCGCAGGAAGACGUAACAUCAGUUCAGCAACCCUGUCCUAUGUGCAUGGACAUAUUUCCCUGUCACAUUAUUGAGGUACAUGCUGCUUCAUGCGGGGAAAGUGCAGGAAAUGAGGGGAUUGAGUGUAGUACUGUGAUGGAAGAAGAGCAAGCAGUAAUGCCUGGACCGUCCAGAAGCAGUGCAGCAGUUACAGACGACUGGCUCACCAUCCAAGACCCUACCAAGGCCAUGUCUCAGUUUCGGGAUUCCCUAUUCCACAUUUAUGAAAAGGAGUGCUUUGGUUCUCAGCAUGGAUACUAGAGAAACCCCUGCCGAACAGGACAUGGCACUCCUCUCCUUCUACAAGCGACCUAAUGUGGAAUGGGCACGACCCUUGCAUUGCAGACUUGAAAGUAGCUUCAGCCACAUGUCCUAAUGGUCAAGGACUGCAAAAAGUAUGACAUUACUAUAUCAAACCUUGCAUUGUGUUACAGGUGAUUUUGCUAUUGGAAAGGGUGUAUCUCGCUUCUUCCUCUCAACUUGCAUUGAGAAGUUGAAGUCUGGGUUUUGCAUCAACUUUGCAAACACUGAUGUGACACGGCUGUUUGAUGGAGAGACAGGCCAUUUGGUGCCGUCAGCCUCUCACUUCAUAGUUGAAAGUGAUAUGUUCGUCAUGGCAGGGAGAAUGAUGGGACACUCCUUCCUUCAUGGGGGACCGUGACUGUCUGGGCUCAGCCCUGCCUUUGCACAUGUCCUGCUUGGAGGGAGUCCCGAGACUGCAACUGUAGCCCUAGAUGACUGCCCAGACCUGGACAUCCGGGAAACAAUCAGGCUUCUUCAAGGUGAAUCCAAACUCUCUGAGGAAGAGGCAAAAAGAGGACAGGACUUGGCCUAUACCUGGGACCUCCCUGGCCUGUCUAAUAAUAACAGGAGAUGGCUUUUCAAGAGAAUGUUGCUCCAUGCUGUCAUUGGACGUGUCACAAGACAAAAGAAACAGCUGAGACGUGGUCUUAAAGAGACACAAAUGUGGACUGUGCUGACCAAACGACCUGACACAGUGGCCCUGCUUUUCCCUAGAGGUAGCAGUGGAUUACAGCCCUGAGGUACUUCUGAAGCGCAUUACCUGGCCUCAUCAUGAUGAAGAAGAAGAUGACAAUUAUUUUUCAGUUGACACCAUGUGCCACGUAUCAGGUUAUCUUCGACAGUUCAUUGAAAAUGGUAUGUUGACAGAGUAAACAUAUGCGAUAAACCGUGAAACAGUUGGGUCAUCUAGUUAUCAUUACCUCUCCACAGCAACUUUUCAUGUAACUUGUAAAAUAAUAAAAUGUUUACUGCACAGCAUCACCGAAUGAAUUGAGAGAUCUGGUGAAAUUCUGGACUGGAUGGGCGAUUCUGCCAAGGGCGAAUCUGUCCCUUGAGGUGGUCAAAGGCAGCUUCACUACUGCCUCCACCUGUUACGAGACCCUGCAAAUCCCAGGGCAUUACAAAGACUAUGCAUCUUUUAAGAGUGACAUCCUAGACUGUAUUGGCAGUUGCCAAACAGGAUUUGGUUUCAUCUAAUAUGUUGAUACAAACAGAUAUUCACACUCGUACAGUUAGAGACGUACACACAAAAUAAGUUUACACCACACAGUUUGUGUUAUGCAUGUCUGCAUGUUUCUUUGUUGCAUGAGCCAGUGAGUUAAGAUACCUGGGUCACAUUGCAAAGUGCUUGUUCAGUUAUCUCUAUUAAAUAAAAAAUAAAAUUUGACUCAGGAAAGAUGUGAAGAA